CAAGCAUUUAAGGCAGAUGUGAAGACAGCCUUAGAAUGUUUGAUUUGCAAGAAGGCAGAAUCUAUUGUCAUGGUAGAUGAUUUAAUGCAAAAACUUAAUGAAAGGUUUCCAGGAGUAAGUGGUUUUGAACGACCAAAUGUAUUAAAGGAGCUAUCCAAAAUAUAUGGAAAGAAGGUGGAAUAUAUGGGGAAGAAAAAGAGG
Non-coding RNA from Paramuricea clavata, 201 nucleotides. The record is from the annotation of a GenBank genome assembly. Lineage: Eukaryota; Metazoa; Cnidaria; Anthozoa; Malacalcyonacea; Plexauridae.